CCUACGGGAGGCAGCAGUGGGGAAUCUUGGACAAUGGGCGAAAGCCUGAUCCAGCGACGCCGCGUGGGGGAUGAAGCCCUUCGGGGUGUAAACCCCUGUUGCGAGGGAGGAAUAAGGCCUGGAGGAAAUGCCAGGCCGAUGACUGUACCUCGCGAGGAAGCCCCGGCUAACUACGUGCCAGCAGCCGCGGUAAUACGUAGGGGGCGAGCGUUACCCGGAUUCACUGGGCGUAAAGCGGGUGUAGGCGGCUCGGUAAGUCGGGUGUGAAAUCCCACAGCUCAACUGUGGAAUUGCGCCCGAAACUGCUGAGCUUGGGGCCGGUAGAGGGAGACGGAACUGCCGGUGUACGGGUGAAAUCCGUAGAUAUCGGCAGGAACGCCGGUGGGGAAGCCGGUCUCCUGGGCCGCGCCCGACGCUGAGACCCGAAAGCUAGGGAGCAACC
Molecule: ribosomal RNA, 442 nt
Filed under: uncultured Thermotoga sp.
Lineage: Bacteria; Thermotogati; Thermotogota; Thermotogae; Thermotogales; Thermotogaceae
Description: bacterial SSU rRNA
Rfam family: Bacterial small subunit ribosomal RNA
Source: RNAcentral